This 442-nucleotide ribosomal RNA is filed under the name Aporia agathon (great blackvein). Its description in RNAcentral is "partial 28S ribosomal RNA". Lineage: Eukaryota; Metazoa; Arthropoda; Insecta; Lepidoptera; Pieridae. The record is from RNAcentral.
AAACCUGCGAAACUCGAAUGAACGAACGGAGAGAUUCAUCGACAUCCGGCGGCGUGCGGGCGCGCGCCUCGAUGUCGCGCCUCCCCCUCGCGGGUGUUGUGGCGCGGCACGGGUCGCGUCCGUCUCGGACCGUCGGCGUUGUGCACUUCUCUCUCAGUAAUGCAUCGCGACCCGUUCGACGUCGGCUUAAGCGCCGUCCGAUUUGCCCAGCGGUAGGCGACUACCGCUGGACCGUGACGGUGGCCGGCCGGCUGUCGGACGGUAUCAGUACGAAUCGCGCACGCGCCUUGUGCGCGUCUGGCCCGACGCAAGCUCGCGCCGUAUCACGUGCUGUCCUGCCCAAGUGCGGACAGCGACGCGGCGCCGCUGUUGUCGCAGCCGUGAUGUCUCGGACCGUGCGCGUCUCAGUCUGCGAUGAGUCAUUUUCGGGCACUCGCAGGAC